This 253-nucleotide ribosomal RNA is filed under the name uncultured bacterium. Its description in RNAcentral is "partial 16S ribosomal RNA". It matches the Rfam family "Bacterial small subunit ribosomal RNA", at positions 524 to 776 of the family's 1533-position model. The record is from RNAcentral.
UACAGAGGUGGCAAGCGUUGUUCGGAAUUACUGGGCGUAAAGGGCGCGUAGGCGGCCUUCUAAGUCGGACGUGAAAGCCCCAGGCUUAACCUGGGAACUGCGUCCGAUACUGGGAGGCUUGGAUUCGGGAGAGGGAUGUGGAAUUCCAGGUGUAGCGGUGAAAUGCGUAGAUAUCUGGAGGAACACCAAUUGCGAAGGCAGCUCGCUGGGACGUUACUGACGCUGAGACGCGAAAGCGUGGGGAGCAAACAGG